AGAGUUUGAUCCUGGCUCAGAUUGAACGCUGGCGGCAUGCCUUACACAUGCAAGUCGAACGGCAGCAUGGAAGAGCUUGCUCUUCUGAUGGCGAGUGGCGAACGGGUGAGUAAAGCAUCGGAACGUACCGUGUAGUGGGGGAUAACGUAGCGAAAGUUACGCUAAUACCGCAUACGCACUGAGGUGGAAAGCAGGGGAUCGCAAGACCUUGCGCUAUACGAGCGGCCGAUGUCAGAUUAGCUAGUUGGUAGGGUAAAGGCCUACCAAGGCGACGAUCUGUAGCGGGUCUGAGAGGAUGAUCCGCCACACUGGGACUGAGACACGGCCCAGACUCCUACGGGAGGCAGCAGUGGGGAAUUUUGGACAAUGGGCGAAAGCCUG
Molecule: ribosomal RNA, 381 nt
Filed under: uncultured bacterium
Lineage: Bacteria
Description: bacterial SSU rRNA
Rfam family: Bacterial small subunit ribosomal RNA
Source: RNAcentral